This 1490-nucleotide ribosomal RNA is filed under the name Lactiplantibacillus argentoratensis. RNAcentral describes it as "bacterial SSU rRNA". It matches the Rfam family "Bacterial small subunit ribosomal RNA". Lineage: Bacteria; Bacillati; Bacillota; Bacilli; Lactobacillales; Lactobacillaceae. The record is from RNAcentral.
GACGAACGCUGGCGGCGUGCCUAAUACAUGCAAGUCGAACGAACUCUGGUAUUGAUUGGUGCUUGCAUCAUGAUUUACAUUUGAGUGAGUGGCGAACUGGUGAGUAACACGUGGGAAACCUGCCCUGAAGCGGGGGAUAACACCUGGAAACAGAUGCUAAUACCGCAUAACAACUUGGACCGCAUGGUCCGAGCUUGAAAGAUGGCUUCGGCUAUCACUUUUGGAUGGUCCCGCGGCGUAUUAGCUAGAUGGUGGGGUAACGGCUCACCAUGGCAAUGAUACGUAGCCGACCUGAGAGGGUAAUCGGCCACAUUGGGACUGAGACACGGCCCAAACUCCUACGGGAGGCAGCAGUAGGGAAUCUUCCACAAUGGACGAAAGUCUGAUGGAGCAACGCCGCGUGAGUGAAGAAGGGUUUCGGCUCGUAAAACUCUGUUGUUAAAGAAGAACAUAUCUGAGAGUAACUGUUCAGGUAUUGACGGUAUUUAACCAGAAAGCCACGGCUAACUACGUGCCAGCAGCCGCGGUAAUACGUAGGUGGCAAGCGUCGUCCGGAUUUAUUGGGCGUAAAGCGAGCGCAGGCGGUUUUUUAAGUCUGAUGUGAAAGCCUUCGGCUCAACCGAAGAAGUGCAUCGGAAACUGGGAAACUUGAGUGCAGAAGAGGACAGUGGAACUCCAUGUGUAGCGGUGAAAUGCGUAGAUAUAUGGAAGAACACCAGUGGCGAAAGGCGGCUGUCUGGUCUGUAACUGACGCUGAGGCUCGAAAGUAUGGGUAGCAAACAGGAUUAGAUACCCUGGUAGUCCAUACCGUAAACGAUGAAUGCUAAGUGUUGGAGGGUUUCCGCCCUUCAGUGCUGCAGCUAACGCAUUAAGCAUUCCGCCUGGGGAGUACGGCCGCAAGGCUGAAACUCAAAGGAAUUGACGGGGGCCCGCACAAGCGGUGGAGCAUGUGGUUUAAUUCGAAGCUACGCGAAGAACCUUACCAGGUCUUGACAUACUAUGCAAAUCUAAGAGAUUAGACGUUCCCUUCGGGGACAUGGAUACAGGUGGUGCAUGGUUGUCGUCAGCUCGUGUCGUGAGAUGUUGGGUUAAGUCCCGCAACGAGCGCAACCCUUAUUAUCAGUUGCCAGCAUUAAGUUGGGCACUCUGGUGAGACUGCCGGUGACAAACCGGAGGAAGGUGGGGAUGACGUCAAAUCAUCAUGCCCCUUAUGACCUGGGCUACACACGUGCUACAAUGGAUGGUACAACGAGUUGCGAACUCGCGAGAGUAAGCUAAUCUCUUAAAGCCAUUCUCAGUUCGGAUUGUAGGCUGCAACUCGCCUACAUGAAGUCGGAAUCGCUAGUAAUCGCGGAUCAGCAUGCCGCGGUGAAUACGUUCCCGGGCCUUGUACACACCGCCCGUCACACCAUGAGAGUUUGUAACACCCAAAGUCGGUGGGGUAACCUUUUAGGAACCAGCCGCCUAAGGUGGGACAGAUGAUUAGGGUG